GUGUAGUGUGAAAAGAGAGAAAGUUAGCACUCCCCUUGAUAAGGAUGGAAAAGGUUCUAAUGGCCUAUAUACAACACACAUAUGGUUAAGGCACUGCUGCAUAAUUUGGGCAUCUAGCCCCUUUUUGUU
This is a small nuclear RNA of Heteronotia binoei (common prickly gecko), 129 nucleotides long. The record is from RefSeq and is a predicted model, not a curated record. Lineage: Eukaryota; Metazoa; Chordata; Lepidosauria; Squamata; Gekkonidae.